UUGAACGCUGGGCGGCGUGCUUAACACAUGCAAGUCGAACGAUGAACCACUUCGGUGGGGAUUAGUGGCGAACGGGUGAGUAACACGUGGGCAAUCUGCCCUUCACUCUGGGACAAGCCCUGGAAACGGGGUCUAAUACCGGAUACCACUACCGCAGGCAUCUGUGGUGGUUGAAAGCUCCGGCGGUGAAGGAUGAGCCCGCGGCCUAUCAGCUUGUUGGUGAGGUAAUGGCUCACCAAGGCGACGACGGGUAGCCGGCCUGAGAGGGCGACCGGCCACACUGGGACUGAGACACGGCCCAGACUCCUACGGGAGGCAGCAGUGGGGAAUAUUGCACAAUGGGCGAAAGCCUGAUGCAGCGACGCCGCGUGAGGGAUGACGGCCUUCGGGUUGUAAACCUCUUUCAGCAGGGAAGAAGCGAAAGUGACGGUACCUGCAGAAGAAGCGCCGGCUAACUACGUGCCAGCAGCCGCGGUAAUACGUAGGGCGCAAGCGUUGUCCGGAAUUAUUGGGCGUAAAGAGCUCGUAGGCGGCUUGUCACGUCGGGUGUGAAAGCCCGGGGCUUAACCCCGGGUCUGCAUUCGAUACGGGCUAGCUAGAGUGUGGUAGAGAGAUCAGAAAACCUCGUAAUGGCCGAAUGGA
This 642-nucleotide ribosomal RNA is filed under the name Actinomycetales bacterium A266. RNAcentral describes it as "bacterial SSU rRNA". It matches the Rfam family "Bacterial small subunit ribosomal RNA", at positions 29 to 690 of the family's 1533-position model. Lineage: Bacteria; Bacillati; Actinomycetota; Actinomycetes; Actinomycetales. The record is from RNAcentral.